RNAcentral lists this non-coding RNA (24 nucleotides) under Mus musculus (house mouse). The record is from RNAcentral. Lineage: Eukaryota; Metazoa; Chordata; Mammalia; Rodentia; Muridae.
UCCGUGAUGGUUUCGGUGCUGCUC